CCUACGGGAGGCAGCAGUGGGGAAUAUUGGGCAAUGGAGGAAACUCUGACCCAGCGACGCCGCGUGAGGGAUGAAGGCCUUCGGGUUGUAAACCUCUUUCAGUAGGGAAGAAGCGAAAGUGACGGUACCUACAGAAGAAGCACCGGCUAACUAUGUGCCAGCAGCCGCGGUAAUACAUAGGGUGCAAGCGUUGUCCGGAAUUAUUGGGCGUAAAGAGCUCGUAGGUGGUUCGAUACGUCGGAUGUGAAAAUCAGGGGCUCAACCCCUGACCUGCAUCCGAUACGGUCGAGCUAGAGUUUGGUAGGGGAGACUGGAAUUCCUGGUGUAGCGGUGGAAUGCGCAGAUAUCAGGAGGAACACCGAUGGCGAAGGCAGGUCUCUGGGCCAAUACUGACACUGAGGAGCGAAAGCGUGGGGAGCGAACAGGAUUAGAUACCCUGGUAGUCCACGCCGUAAACGGUGGGCGCUAGUUGCGCGAACCUUCCACGGUUUGUGCGACGCAGCUACGCAUAGCGCCCGCCGUCGGGUAGGUACGAUCGCGAGAAUUAAACGUUAAACGUAAGUAGUAGACGNGAGAGAGUACGACGACGACGACGACGGAGGAGG
RNAcentral lists this ribosomal RNA (605 nucleotides) under uncultured bacterium. RNAcentral describes it as "bacterial SSU rRNA". The stretch from base 1 to 520 matches the Rfam family "Bacterial small subunit ribosomal RNA", at positions 338 to 873 of the family's 1533-position model. The record is from RNAcentral.